UACAGAGGGGGCAAGCGUUAUUCGGAAUUAUUGGGCGUAAAGGGCGCGUAGGCGGCUUGGCAAGUGGAAGGUGAAAUCCCUCGGCUCAACUGAGGAACUGCCUUCCAGACUGCUUGCUUGAGUCCGGGAGAGGUGAGUGGAAUUCCCAGUGUAGCGGUGAAAUGCGUAGAUAUUGGGAGGAACACCAGUGGCGAAGGCGGCUCACUGGACCGGAACUGACGCUGAGGCGCGAAAGCGUGGGGAGCAAACAGG
RNAcentral lists this ribosomal RNA (252 nucleotides) under uncultured bacterium. RNAcentral's name for it is "partial 16S ribosomal RNA". It matches the Rfam family "Bacterial small subunit ribosomal RNA", at positions 524 to 776 of the family's 1533-position model. The record is from RNAcentral.